UACGUAGGGUGCAAGCGUUAAUCGGAAUUACUGGGCGUAAAGCGUACGCAGGCGGUUAUGUAAGACAGAUGUGAAAUCCCCGGGCUCAACCUGGGAACUGCAUUUGUGACUGUAUAGCUAGAGUACGGCAGAGGGAGAUGGAAUUCCGCGUGUAGCAGUGAAAUGCGUAGAUAUGCGGAGGAACACCGAUGGCGAAGGCAAUCCCCUGGGCCUGUACUGACGCUCAUGCACGAAAGCGUGGGGAGCAAACAGG
Molecule: ribosomal RNA, 253 nt
Filed under: uncultured bacterium
Lineage: Bacteria
Description: partial 16S ribosomal RNA
Rfam family: Bacterial small subunit ribosomal RNA
Source: RNAcentral